AGGGGCAGAUUGUGGCAUCGAGCCUUAUCUAAAGUUAGUCAAACUGUGAAAACAACUUCUGCAGAUACUGCAAGAACUUUGGACUUAACUCGAGCUAGCAGGCGAUGUUCAGGACAGGCUGACAGUGAAUUACCACAAGCUUUUUCUCCACAGAGUUCCUUUUGUAUUUACAUCAUCAAUUCCAAUUUUGGACUUGAAAAGGAGACAGUGAUCCAGACAGUGAUUUCCUCCAAUAUCUUAUCUUCCCGUGUCUGUGUGUGUUUUCAACAGGCGGACCCAUGGGGUUACAGUCUUGCAAGCCUUGCAACUCCAGCUUGCAAAGUAAGGAGGAAUGCAGACCGGCUGGUGGCUGCUCAUGUGUGUGUGAAGACUGGACAUAUUGCUCUGAACACUGCUGUGACAUCUGCUGCCAGAUGUGUGUAGACGUGUGCUCUGGCUUGUGUUCAGGAGACUGCAGCUACACCUUCUGUACCCUCUGCCUCAGCCUGGCACAGAACUGUGUCUCAUUUUUUACCACCCAACAAACGGAAACAUCAGAGGCACAACAUAUUGAAGAGAGUCUGACUGCAUCCUUCCACAGUGGCCGUGAAGCCAAGCUAUCUGCUGCUGUCUAAUGAGAACGGAGAUGAGGUGUGAAAAGAGCUUUCUGCAGAGCGCCAUUCUGGAUUUAAAAAUUGCCCUUACGUAAGUUUAAGAUUAUCCCCACCAUCAUGGCUGGACAAAAGCUCUGUGAAUAAAUUCCUGGCUCACACCCAUGUGAGAAAGAGAGAGGCAGUUCUUCUUAACACGCAAGACACCAUCUUUCCAGUCUCAUCAUUUCAUGUGGAUGGAUUUCUUUCUUGUCUAUCUGGAAAUUUGGUCACAAAAAAUACAACUAAUUAACCUGUGCUUUCCAGCACAAAACUCUCAAAGAGACAAACAGGAUUCCCCAAAAUCAACUAAUGUGUUGCAUUUUUCACAUCUGGAAGAUUAAACUCAAGUGAAGGAAUUGCCUCAUGCUGGCAUGCAAGCAGCACUUCAAAGCACUCAUUAGAUGUCUGCAAGAUUGUUUUGCACUUUGAGGCAAACAAAAAUAUUAUUUGGUUGCACACAGCGUACAAUCUGAUAUCUCUUUGUGAGAUAAGGGUGCCGGAGGACACAAGGUGCUAUUUGCUUCCUCUGAAUUAGACCUUUAUAUUAUCCUUCAAGAAAUUGCAAGUUUGUGGAAAUUUUAAUGAUUCAGUGAGAAAUGUCCCCGCAUCAAAAGACGCUUAGAAUGAGGUCCUACGAGGAAAAUCUAACAACACAGAGAGUAUGAUGCUGCAUUCGUGUCUCCGACUGCCCAUCUCUGCUCCUGUUUUCUCCUCCUCCCAGUCCCUCUGGACUCUGCAGUGCAAUCACCAACUUAAAUGUGUAUCCGUCUCAAACUCAGAGAAUACAGCGUGUGGCCUAGUUUAAUCUUUGGACUGACCUUAUCCUUGCAAAAAAGCUUGCUUGUCUAAAGUUAUAAGAUCUGCAGUAAAUCCUGUGGGUCCAAAAUAAUUUGGAUACUCAGAGAUGUAUACAGUCACUUUGAUGGCAUUGAGUGUUGUUGUCAUUGUGUAGAUUGUUCCAUGUAUUUGCUUGAAAUAUAUAAAAAGUAGAUGAUGACAUUGUACUACAAACUGUCCACAAAUGAUGCAUUGAGCUGGAAAAGAUCAGGGACUGUAAUACGGAGAAGAGUAUUUUGUGAAUGUAUCUACUGUAUGUAUCCUGUUUUGUUAACACUGGGUUGAGUCUUUUUCUUGUAAAGUGUGGACUUUUACAAAUCACUAACGCCAUAUGUUUUCCAGUGGGACUUGUCUUGAAAGAUGUGUUCAUUUCCAACCAGCUGAUGGUGGGUACACACCAUGGUAACAGUAAUAGUAAGUCGGACGAGGCCCCUUAAUGACUGAAGAUCUACCUAAAAAAUGUGUAAGAACAAAAUUUAAGAUCUUGUGAAAAUUUUCCCAACCUUUCCUGUUUUUCAUCUUAUUCCAUCUUUCUUAUCUCUUUGUGUGAGUGCAUUUCUCUCACCUUGCUCGCUGUCUAUGUUCUCUUUACCAAAUAUCUUCCGGUUAGAUGUUUGGGAAAAGGCAUUGUAUGCUGCUGUCAGUCAACUAGAUUACAGCUCUGGAGGAUCCUUAUUGCUCACCUUCCGAAAAUAAGUAGAUGCCUCCUGACUUUGCCAGCUAGAAAUAUCUGUAGGUGUGUGUUCUUCCCGUUCUCGGAGGUUGUGGUACAAAAGAAAACAUGAGAGACAUAAUUGGAAGACUAAAUCUGAAUUUGAUCCAACAAAGCUGCAAUUAAAGAAUCCUCACACUCUAUUACCCUGUAGAUGCAAAGAUCUAAAAAAGCAGAACACGUGUGCUUCAAACCCUUAAUCCCUUUUCAUUUUAUUUGUUUUGCAGCUAUGUUCAUAUAUAUAUUUUUUUUUUUACAUCAAUUCUCUGUUCACCUGUCAACAUCCCCACUGAGCUAGCUGUCAGCUUAGUUAAUCGUGGCCUUGUGAGGUUUACAGUGUUUUUAUGGCUAAGAGAUGCAUAUUACUGCUGUAAGAGGCUUUGCUCUAUCAUUAGCACUAUGGGCACACAAUGCUUACUGCAUGCAAAGUGAUGAUGGACAAGGAGCGUAUAACUCCUCAUCGGUUCAAAGUCAAACCAUCAAAAAAGUUCAGUGUGAAAACCAUCAUGAAGCCCCUUAACGUGCUUGUCUCUAUUCACUCCUAAAAUUGUUUAGAAUUUGAUGGGGCACAGCUUCACUUGGUACAAUUGUAUCUAUAUAAAGCAAGUAGUGGCUGCAAUGGUGUGUGUCUCAGUUAAGAGAGAGUGGAGGUGAGAGAGUGGAGGUGGGUUGUUGCAUGGUCGUUCUUUUUGCCCUCUUGCUGCGUGUCAGGUUAUGAGAUUCUGAAGAUGUGCAGGUGAGACCUGCUGAAGAUGUGCAGAGAAAGCUAGGAGAGCAGUUUUGGGAGAUGGGGGGCAAUUAGUUUUUUUUUUUUUUUUGGGUUGAAAUUGGAUUUUAUUUUUGUCCACUCUGAGACCUACGUCUUAUCCUGCAACCCAGUCCUCCCACUCAAUUUCCAUCUCACCGUGCGAAAAUUGAAGUGAUAUAAAGAUGUGAGCUAGAGAUGGAGAAGACAGGCAGAGAUGGUUGAAAAGGAGGGCAAGGUAAUGGCAAAAAGAUGCAUACAGCGAGAUAUUGGUGAGAGUGAGAUGCAGGGCGAAAAAGGUGGCAGCACACAGAUGUCAACAUUUCCAGUGCACAGCAGCAAAUGUCUUGACCAGAUUCCUUAUGAUAGCCUUUUACUCAUGUGAAGAAACAAAUUAUGUAGCUACCACACUCCAGUAAGUUAGUUUCUUUAAACUGCUCAGCUUCAAAUACAAACUACUGAAAAUGAAUGCAUAAGAAACCAGCAAUUUACAUAAAUGGUAGUAGGGUACAUAGCUUUAAAAUCAUGUAUCUAAUUUUUCUAUGACCACUUAGUAUUCAAAACGUAGGUGAAAUGAAACAAAGCCAGCUGUGCUCACUCAAGUGGAAAGACAGACACUCAUACAUACAUAUAAAUAGUGACAGAGAUGGCUCAUCAUAGAUGCAUUACACUUUGUGAUGUGAUAACAGGGCGGUCAAACUAAAUCUCUGUACUUCAUAUGCAUUCCAAAUCCCUAUUUCUUGUAAGGUCUACAAUAAAAAGUAUUUAACAGAUUCACCAGCAUGCAUAAAAAGAGAAGGAGAAAAUCAUUUGCUGAAAGUAAAGAGAGAAAUCAAUGAAUAGAAAAAGGCCCUAUUAGCAAUGGUGGGACGAGUUGUGUUCAUUUGGUUUGCAUGUAUAGGUCGACAGCCCAUUAGACAGCUUUAAAAGGAAAUCAGAUUCUGGCCUUCCUCCAAAGACAUUACGGGAUGGGGUCAGGCUGAAGACAAACUGGUAAUUGACCAAUAGAUUCAGGUAAAUUGUUGGUCCCUGGAAGAAACAACAAUUUUGUUAAUUGCAUUUUUACCACUGGGUGAGGGGAUUUUGGAUUGCAGGUGUACAACAGCAAUGACAGUUGGCCGCAAUGGGCCCAACAUCUGACAGUCCUAUUACUUCUACUUCUGUAAACACAUGUCUACCAGCUCAAACGCAAAUAGUCCAGUAAUGCAGUUAGUAUAAAGUAUUCUGGCAUGUUGCAUUGGAAAAAAAACAACAGCCUAGAACGUUGUAAAUAUAAACACAGAGAUAGGUUUGGCACAUUCUAACAAAUUUUAAAAACAGGUGGUAAUACGUUCUACAUAAAUAAAGGGUUAGGGUUGGUUCAGCUAGACAAAAACUGAAGUCAAUUGAAUACUAACAAACCCUCAGGAGCCACCUGUCAGUCAAACUAAUGGACACUAACAAUAGUAAGGUCAAUGCUUUUUACCUCCACAGGGAGGUUGUGUUUUUAGUUUGUGUCUAUCUGUAAGCAGGAUUACGGAAAAAACUACUUGCCUGAUUUACAUAAAACUUAUUGGAAACGUGUGGUGUGGGCUAAGGAAGAACCCAUUACAUUUUGGACCUGAUCCAUAUUAUGUGGCAGACACACUAAUUCCUGAUUUAUUUUCGUCAAAAUUGCAAGAUAUGGCAUGCAUGGCCUUGGCCUAGGUCUGCACUCUCCAAGCUCUUUUAGUUUAUGAAUGUUUUUUGUGUUACUGCAAAUUGUACUUUUGUGUAUCCUGCUAAGU
Etheostoma spectabile (orangethroat darter) is the source of this 4692-nucleotide long non-coding RNA. RefSeq lists it as uncharacterized. The transcript has 3 exons. The record is from RefSeq and is a predicted model, not a curated record. Lineage: Eukaryota; Metazoa; Chordata; Actinopteri; Perciformes; Percidae.